CCUACGGGAGGCAGCAGUGAGGAAUAUUGGUCAAUGGCCGGAAGGCUGAACCAGCCAAGCCGCGUGAGGGAGGAAGGCGCAGAGCGUCGCAGACCUCUUUUGCCGGGGGACAAAAGGCCGGACUCGUCCGGUCCUGAGGGUACCCGGAGAAAAAGCAUCGGCUAACUCCGUGCCAGCAGCCGCGGUAAUACGGAGGGUGCGAGCGUUAUCCGGAAUCACUGGGCGUACAGGGCGCGUAGGCGGUAAUAUAAGUCAGAUGUGAAAAGUGGGGGCUCAACCCCUAGAGUGCAACGUAUACUGUAUAACGUGAGUGUGAGAGAGGGAAGCGGAAUUCCUAGUGUAGCGGUGAAAUGCGGAGAUAUUAGGAGGAACACCAGUGGCGAAGGCGGCUUUCUGGCUCAUAACUGACGCUGAGGCGCGAAAGCGUGGGGAGCAAACAGGAUUAGAUACCCGAGUAGUC
RNAcentral lists this ribosomal RNA (460 nucleotides) under uncultured bacterium. RNAcentral describes it as "partial 16S ribosomal RNA". It matches the Rfam family "Bacterial small subunit ribosomal RNA", at positions 338 to 795 of the family's 1533-position model. The record is from RNAcentral.